UACGUAGGGUGCGAGCGUUGUCCGGAAUUACUGGGCGUAAAGAGCUCGUAGGUGGUUUGUCGCGUUGUUCGUGAAAACCGGGGGCUUAACCCUCGGCGUGCGGGCGAUACGGGCAGACUUGAGUACUGCAGGGGAGACUGGAAUUCCUGGUGUAGCGGUGGAAUGCGCAGAUAUCAGGAGGAACACCGGUGGCGAAGGCGGGUCUCUGGGCAGUAACUGACGCUGAGGAGCGAAAGCGUGGGGGAGCGAACAGG
RNAcentral lists this ribosomal RNA (254 nucleotides) under uncultured bacterium. RNAcentral describes it as "partial 16S ribosomal RNA". It matches the Rfam family "Bacterial small subunit ribosomal RNA", at positions 524 to 776 of the family's 1533-position model. The record is from RNAcentral.